RNAcentral lists this unclassified non-coding RNA (307 nucleotides) under uncultured fungus. Its description in RNAcentral is "sequence contains ITS1". The stretch from base 1 to 105 matches the Rfam family "5.8S ribosomal RNA", at positions 50 to 154 of the family's 154-position model. Lineage: Eukaryota; Fungi. The record is from RNAcentral.
GAAAUGCGAUAAGUAGUGUGAAUUGCAGAAUUCAGUGAAUCAUCGAAUCUUUGAACGCACAUUGCGCCCUUUGGUAUUCCUUAGGGCAUGCCUGUUCGAGCGUCAUUUACACCUUCAAGCUCUGCUUGGUGUUGGGCGUCUGUCCCUGCCCCCUCGGGGGCGUGGACUCGCCUCAAAUCUAUUGGCGGCCGGUACCGUGGCUUCGAGCGCAGCAAAUUAGCGACCUCAUCGCCUGAGCGUACUGGCUCCCAGAAGCCCAUUUUCUUGUUUUGACCUCGGAUCAGGUAGGGAUACCCGCUGAACUUAA